CAGCAGCCGCGGGAAUACGAAGGGUGCAAGCGUUACUCGGAAUUACUGGGCGUAAAGCGUGCGUAGGUGGUGGUUUAAGUCCGUUGUGAAAGCCCUGGGCUCAACCUGGGAAUUGCAGUGGAUACUGGAUCACUAGAGUGUGGUAGAGGAUAGUGGAAUUUCCGGUGUAGCAGUGAAAUGCGUAGAGAUCGGAAGGAACAUCUGUGGCGAAGGCGGCCAUCUGGGACAACACUGACGCUGAGGCACGAAAGCGUGGGGAGCAAACAGGAUUAGAUACCCCUGUAGUCCCUGUCUCUUAUAU
This 301-nucleotide ribosomal RNA is filed under the name uncultured bacterium. RNAcentral's name for it is "partial 16S ribosomal RNA". It matches the Rfam family "Bacterial small subunit ribosomal RNA", at positions 509 to 809 of the family's 1533-position model. The record is from RNAcentral.